Molecule: ribosomal RNA, 540 nt
Filed under: uncultured bacterium
Lineage: Bacteria
Description: partial 16S ribosomal RNA
Rfam family: Bacterial small subunit ribosomal RNA
Source: RNAcentral
UGGGGAAUAUUGCACAAUGGGCGAAAGCCUGAUGCAGCGACGCCGCGUGCGGGAUGAAGGCCUUCGGGUUGUAAACCGCUUUUGAUUGGGAGCAAGCGAGAGUGAGUGUACCUUUCGAAUAAGCACCGGCUAACUACGUGCCAGCAGCCGCGGUAAUACGUAGGGUGCAAGCGUUAUCCGGAAUUAUUGGGCGUAAAGAGCUCGUAGGCGGUUUGUCGCGUCUGGUGUGAAAGUCCAUCGCUUAACGGUGGAUCUGCGCCGGGUACGGGCAGGCUAGAGUGCGACAGGGGAGACUGGAAUUCCCGGUGUAACGGUGGAAUGUGUAGAUAUCGGGAAGAACACCAAUGGCGAAGGCAGGUCUCUGGGUCGUCACUGACGCUGAGGAGCGAAAGCGUGGGGAGCGAACAGGAUUAGAUACCCUGGUAGUCCACGCCGUAAACGGUGGAUGCUGGAUGUGGGGCCCAUUCCACGGGUUCCGUGUCGGAGCUAACGCGUUAAGCAUCCCGCCUGGGGAGUACGGCCGCAAGGCUAAAACUCUAA